This 423-nucleotide ribosomal RNA is filed under the name Triticum aestivum (bread wheat). RNAcentral's name for it is "partial small subunit ribosomal RNA". The record is from RNAcentral. Lineage: Eukaryota; Viridiplantae; Streptophyta; Magnoliopsida; Poales; Poaceae.
AUGGCGAAAUGCUUCCUGGUGCUCGCCUUCUUGGCGUUUCUCCUGCCAGCGGCCUACGCGAUGUGCCACCCUGACGACCUCCAAGCGCCGCGGGGCUUCGCCAGGAAGAGCAAUAGAAGAACACUCCAACAACAACAGCCAAAUACCAUUACUGGGACCAACAACAGUGUCAGAUCUGGGAGUGGUAAUAUUGUAUCUGGGAACAGCAACACUGUCGUAUCUGGGGACAACAACAAUGUUUCUGGGAGCAACAACACAGUCACAUCUGGGAGCAACAAUGUCAUAGUUGACAGCAACCAUGUCGUAACUGGGAACAACAAUACUGUAUCUGGCAGGAACAAUAUGGUAACUGGGAACAAUAAUGUUGUAUCAGGGAGCAACCAUGUCGUGUCCGGGGACAACAAAGUCGUAACUGGCGGUUAA